This 467-nucleotide ribosomal RNA is filed under the name uncultured bacterium. RNAcentral describes it as "partial 16S ribosomal RNA". It matches the Rfam family "Bacterial small subunit ribosomal RNA", at positions 28 to 507 of the family's 1533-position model. The record is from RNAcentral.
GACGAACGCUGGCGGCGUGCUUAACACAUGCAAGUCGAACGGAAAGGCCUCUUUCGGGGGGUACUCGAGUGGCGAACGGGUGAGUAACACGUGAGUAACCUGCCCUUGACUUUGGGAUAACUUCAGGAAACUGGGGCUAAUACCGGAUAGGAGCUCCUGCUGCAUGGUGGGGGUUGGAAAGUUUCGGCGGUUGGGGAUGGACUCGCGGCUUAUCAGCUUGUUGGUGGGGUAGUGGCUUACCAAGGCUUUGACGGGUAGCCGGCCUGAGAGGGUGACCGGCCACAUUGGGACUGAGAUACGGCCCAGACUCCUACGGGAGGCAGCAGUGGGGAAUAUUGCACAAUGGGUGGAAGCCUGAUGCAGCCACGCCGUGUGCGGGAUGACGGCCUUCGGGUUGUAAACCGCUUUCGCUCAUGACGAAGCUUUGUGUGACGGUAGUGGGUAAAGAAGCACCGGCUAACUACGUG